RNAcentral lists this ribosomal RNA (447 nucleotides) under uncultured bacterium. RNAcentral describes it as "bacterial SSU rRNA". It matches the Rfam family "Bacterial small subunit ribosomal RNA", at positions 330 to 794 of the family's 1533-position model. The record is from RNAcentral.
CCCAGACUCCUACGGGAGGCAGCAGUGGGGAAUAUUGCACAAUGGGGGAAACCCUGAUGCAGCAACGCCGCGUGAGUGAAGAAGUCAUUCGUGAUGUAAAGCUCUAUCAGCAGGGAAGAAAAUGACGGUACCUGAGUAAGAAGCCCCGGCUAACUACGUGCCAGCAGCCGCGGUAAUACGUAGGGGGCAAGCGUUAUCCGGAUUUACUGGGUGUAAAGGGAGCGUAGACGGCAGUGCAAGUCUGGAGUGAAAGGCGGGGGCUCAACCCCCGGACUGCUCUGGAAACUGUACGGCUGGAGUGCAGGAGAGGUAAGUGGAAUUCCUAGUGUAGCAGUGAAAUGCGUAGAUAUUAGGAGGAACACCAGUGGCGAAGGCGGCCUGCUGGACUGCAACUGACGUUGAGGCUCGAAAGCGUGGGGAGCAAACAGGAUUAGAUACCCGAGUAAU